AUUGAACGCUGGCGGUAUGCUUAACACAUGCAAGUCGAACGGAAACGAUACUAGCUUGCUAGUAGGCGUCGAGUGGCGGACGGGUGAGUAACGCGUAGGAAUCUGCCUGAUAGUGGGGGAUAGCCCGAAGAAAUUCGGAUUAAUACCGCAUAAUCUAUUCGUAGUAAAGUGGGGGACUUUCGAGCCUCACGCUAUCAGAUGAGCCUGCGUAAGAUUAGCUUGUUGGUAGGGCAAAAGCCUACCAAGGCGACGAUCUUUAGCUGGUCUGAGAGGAUGAUCAGCCACAUCGGGACUGAGACACGGCCCGAACUCCUACGGGAGGCAGCAGUGGGGAAUAUUGGACAAUGGGGGCAACCCUGAUCCAGCAAUACCGCGUGUGUGAAGAAGGCCUGAGGGUUGUAAAGCACUUUCAAUUGUGAAGAAAAGUUAGCGGUUAAUAACCGUUAGCCUUGACGUUAACUUUAGAAGAAGCACCGGCUAACUCCGUGCCAGCAGCCGCGGUAAUACGGAGGGUGCAAGCGUUAAUCGGAAUUACUGGGCGUAAAGCGUGCGUAGGCGGUUUAUUAAGUCAGAUGUGAAAGCCCCGGGCUUAACCUGGGAACUGCAUUUGAAACUGGUCAACUAGAGUAUGGUAGAGGAAAGUGGAAUUUCUGGUGUAGCGGUGAAAUGCGUAGAUAUCAGAAGGAACAUCAAUGGCGAAGGCAGCUUUCUGGACCAAUACUGACGCUGAGGUACGAAAGCGUGGGUAGCAAACAGGAUUAGAUACCCUGGUAGUCCACGCCGUAAACGAUGAUAACUAGCCGUUGGGGGGAUUUACCCUUUAGUGGCGAAGCUAACGCGUUAAGUUAUCCGCCUGGGGAGUACGGCCGCAAGGUUAAAACUCAAAGGAAUUGACGGGGACCCGCACAAGCGGUGGAGCAUGUGGUUUAAUUCGAUGCAACGCGAAGAACCUUACCUGGUCUUGACAUCCUGCGAACUUUCUAGAAAUAGAUUGGUGCCUUCGGGAACGCAGUGACAGGUGCUGCAUGGCUGUCGUCAGCUCGUGUCGUGAGAUGUUGGGUUAAGUCCCGUAACGAGCGCAACCCCUAUCCUUAUUUGCCAGCACAUCAUGGUGGGAACUAUAAGGAGACUGCCGGUGAUAAACCGGAGGAAGGCGGGGACGACGUCAAGUCAUCAUGGCCCUUACGACCAGGGCUACACACGUGCUACAAUGGGAAGGACAAAGAGCCGCGAAGCCGCGAGGUGUAGCUAAUCUCAUAAACCUUUUCGUAGUCCGGAUUGGAGUCUGCAACUCGACUCCAUGAAGUCGGAAUCGCUAGUAAUCGUAGAUCAGAAUGCUACGGUGAAUACGUUCCCGGGUCU
Molecule: ribosomal RNA, 1362 nt
Filed under: uncultured bacterium
Lineage: Bacteria
Description: bacterial SSU rRNA
Rfam family: Bacterial small subunit ribosomal RNA
Source: RNAcentral